RNAcentral lists this ribosomal RNA (492 nucleotides) under uncultured bacterium. RNAcentral's name for it is "partial 16S ribosomal RNA". It matches the Rfam family "Bacterial small subunit ribosomal RNA", at positions 28 to 507 of the family's 1533-position model. The record is from RNAcentral.
GAUGAACGCUAGCUACAGGCUUAACACAUGCAAGUCGAGGGGAAACGGCAUUGAGUGCUUGCACUCUUUGGACGUCGACCGGCGCACGGGUGAGUAACGCGUAUCCAACCUUCCCAUUACUGUGGGAUAACCUGCCGAAAGGCAGACUAAUACCGCAUAGUCUUCGAUGACGGCAUCAGAUUUGAAGUAAAGAUUUAUCGGUAAUGGAUGGGGAUGCGUCUGAUUAGCUUGUUGGCGGGGUAACGGCCCACCAAGGCUACGAUCAGUAGGGGUUCUGAGAGGAAGGUCCCCAACAUUGGAACUGAGACACGGUCCAAACUCCUACGGGAGGCAGCAGUGAGGAAGAUUGGUCAAUGGACGGAAGUCUGAACCAGCCAAGUAGCGUGCAGGAUGACGGCCCUAUGGGUUGUAAACUGCUUUUGUAUGGGGAUAAAGUUAGGGACGGGUCCCUAUUUGCAGGUACCAUACGAAUAAGGACCGGCUAAUUCCGUG